GAGUUUGAUCAUGGCUCAGGAUUAACGCUGGCGGAGUGCCUAAUACAUGCAAGUCGAGCGGCAGCGCGAAGAGUUUACUCUUUGGCGGCGAGCGGCGGACGGCUGAGUAACGCGUGGGAACGUACCCCAAAGUGAGGAAUAACUGCCCGAAAGGGUAGCUAAUACCGCAUAUGAUCUUCGGAUUAAAGGAUUUGUCCGCUUUGGGAGCGGCCCGCGUACGAUUAGAUAGUUGGUGAGGUAAUGGCUCACCAAGUCGACGAUCGUUAACUGAUCUGAGAGAUGAUCAGUCAGACUGGAACUGAGACACGGUCCAGACUCCUACGGGAGGCAGCAGUAAGGAAUCUUCCACAAUGG
This 354-nucleotide ribosomal RNA is filed under the name uncultured bacterium. Its description in RNAcentral is "bacterial SSU rRNA". It matches the Rfam family "Bacterial small subunit ribosomal RNA", at positions 9 to 374 of the family's 1533-position model. The record is from RNAcentral.